GGGGGCGACCUGGUUUCGACGUGGGUUGCAAAGCAGCGCAGGGCAUACCGAGGGCUGGUGACCUCGUAAAUCCAUCCAGAAACAAACUAACUGCAAACGAUUCUUCGUACGCACUGGCAGCUUAAUGCAGCCAGCUCCACAACACUUCGUCCCUGGGGUGUGCCGGCAACGGUGGUGGAGUCAUUUACAGGGACUCGGCUUGAAUCGCGCUACUUGAAACAAGCUUAAAUCUAAGGUGGCUCGCCUUUGGAAAGCGUGCACGUUCGCGUUCCAGGGGUUAAAUCAAAAGACAGUGCUAAGUAUGUAGAACUGUCUGUCGAGGGCUUGCGGACGAGGGUUCAAUUCCCUCCGCCUCCACCA
Molecule: transfer-messenger RNA, 360 nt
Filed under: Burkholderiaceae
Lineage: Bacteria; Pseudomonadati; Pseudomonadota; Betaproteobacteria; Burkholderiales
Also listed under: 1 other name
Description: Telluria sp022012445 Standard tmRNA
Rfam family: transfer-messenger RNA
About the family: Bacterial tmRNA, also known as 10Sa RNA or SsrA, is named for its dual tRNA and mRNA-like properties. Its role is to liberate the mRNA from a stalled ribosome.
Source: RNAcentral